CCGAUCUGGGAGGAACGACCUUCAGCGCAGCCUGUAAGGACAAACCGGCACAUGAAACGUCUGCUGAAGAAAGGGAGGACGUUGUUUGAUGGUGCCUUGGCUGGAAGUUCCCCAGUGCCUGUUCAUCACCACAUCCGCCUACAGAUUCCCAGAAUAAAACAUGGGAGUGUAUGGCUGGCCUGUGAUCUGGAUCGUGGAUCCCCUUACCCCAAAAUUUCUCAUCAAGACUGACUCAAGCAACAGGAAGAUCACAAAGCCUUCAACAAAGCCAAAGAACUAUGUGAAUUAUUAAUCAAUUGUAAUUAACAUGUGACUCAAGUAAGACGAGAACUAACAUGUGCAUUCAGAUACAAAAACCGAGAGGGCCACAAAGAUGAAAAUAGGACAACACUGCAUUCUAAGAUAGAACUAGGAAUACAUUUCUAUGCCACAUAAUCCUGUUACGUUUCCAGAUAAUGCUUUCUCCUUCUUCUUUUUAAAAAGAUCAUCUUGACCUCAGAACAACACAACAAAUUUGCCUGGAUGAUCAGUACUCAUAACAACUCUUGUUCAAUUUGUCCUCAUUCUCCCCCUCACCCUGGAUGCUCUAUUCACUUUCGGCUAAAAUUAGACACAGCAAGCAAUAUUCUAUCACUUUUCCUUUUGUGCAUCUAAAAAUAU
Molecule: non-coding RNA, 660 nt
Organism: Pogona vitticeps (central bearded dragon)
Lineage: Eukaryota; Metazoa; Chordata; Lepidosauria; Squamata; Agamidae
Source: RefSeq, a predicted model, not a curated record